Molecule: ribosomal RNA, 492 nt
Filed under: uncultured bacterium
Lineage: Bacteria
Description: partial 16S ribosomal RNA
Rfam family: Bacterial small subunit ribosomal RNA
Source: RNAcentral
AGUGAACGCUGGCGGUAGGCCUAACACAUGCAAGUCGAACGGCAGCACAGUAAGAGCUUGCUCUUACGGGUGGCGAGUGGCGGACGGGUGAGGAAUACAUCGGAAUCUACUUUUUCGUGGGGGAUAACGUAGGGAAACUUACGCUAAUACCGCAUACGACCUACGGGUGAAAGCAGUGGAUCUUCGGACCUUGCGCGAUUGAAUGAGCCGAUGUCGGAUUAGCUAGUUGGCGGGGUAAAGGCCUACCAAGGCGACGAUCCGUAGCUGGUCUGAGAGGAGGAUCAGCCACACUGGAACUGAGACACGGUCCAGACUCCUACGGGAGGCAGCAGUGGGGAAUAUUGGACAAUGGGCGCAAGCCUGAUCCAGCCAUACCGCGUGGGUGAAGAAGGCCUUCGGGUUGUAAAGCCCUUUUGUUGGGAAAGAAAAGCAGCAGGUUAAUACCCCGCUGUUCUGACGGUACCCAAAGAAUAAGCACCGGCUAACUUCGUG